Molecule: ribosomal RNA, 2900 nt
Filed under: Klebsiella pneumoniae
Lineage: Bacteria; Pseudomonadati; Pseudomonadota; Gammaproteobacteria; Enterobacterales; Enterobacteriaceae
Also listed under: 2 other names
Description: 23S ribosomal RNA
Rfam family: Bacterial large subunit ribosomal RNA
Source: RNAcentral
UUAAGCGACUAAGCGUACACGGUGGAUGCCCUGGCAGUCAGAGGCGAUGAAGGACGUGCUAAUCUGCGAAAAGCGUCGGUAAGGUGAUAUGAACCGUUACAGCCGGCGAUGUCCGAAUGGGGAAACCCAGUGCAAUUCGUUGCACUAUCGUUAACUGAAUACAUAGGUUAACGAGGCGAACCGGGGGAACUGAAACAUCUAAGUACCCCGAGGAAAAGAAAUCAACCGAGAUUCCCCCAGUAGCGGCGAGCGAACGGGGAGCAGCCCAGAGUCUGAAUCAGCUUGUGUGUUAGUGGAACGGUCUGGAAAGUCCGACGGUACAGGGUGAUAGUCCCGUACACCAAAAUGCACAGGCUGUGAACUCGAAGAGUAGGGCGGGACACGUGGUAUCCUGUCUGAAUAUGGGGGGACCAUCCUCCAAGGCUAAAUACUCCUGACUGACCGAUAGUGAACCAGUACCGUGAGGGAAAGGCGAAAAGAACCCCGGCGAGGGGAGUGAAAAAGAACCUGAAACCGUGUACGUACAAGCAGUGGGAGCACCUUCGGGUGUGACUGCGUACCUUUUGUAUAAUGGGUCAGCGACUUAUAUUCUGUAGCAAGGUUAACCGUAUAGGGGAGCCGCAGGGAAACCGAGUCUUAACUGGGCGUUAAGUUGCAGGGUAUAGACCCGAAACCCGGUGAUCUAGCCAUGGGCAGGUUGAAGGUUGGGUAACACUAACUGGAGGACCGAACCGACUAAUGUUGAAAAAUUAGCGGAUGACUUGUGGCUGGGGGUGAAAGGCCAAUCAAACCGGGAGAUAGCUGGUUCUCCCCGAAAGCUAUUUAGGUAGCGCCUCGUGAACUCAUCUUCGGGGGUAGAGCACUGUUUCGGCUAGGGGGUCAUCCCGACUUACCAACCCGAUGCAAACUACGAAUACCGAAGAAUGUUAUCACGGGAGACACACGGCGGGUGCUAACGUCCGUCGUGAAGAGGGAAACAACCCAGACCGCCAGCUAAGGUCCCAAAGUCAUGGUUAAGUGGGAAACGAUGUGGGAAGGCACAGACAGCCAGGAUGUUGGCUUAGAAGCAGCCAUCAUUUAAAGAAAGCGUAAUAGCUCACUGGUCGAGUCGGCCUGCGCGGAAGAUGUAACGGGGCUAAACCAUGCACCGAAGCUGCGGCAGCGACACUAUGUGUUGUUGGGUAGGGGAGCGUUCUGUAAGCCUGCGAAGGUGUGCUGUGAGGCAUGCUGGAGGUAUCAGAAGUGCGAAUGCUGACAUAAGUAACGAUAAAGCGGGUGAAAAGCCCGCUCGCCGGAAGACCAAGGGUUCCUGUCCAACGUUAAUCGGGGCAGGGUGAGUCGACCCCUAAGGCGAGGCCGAAAGGCGUAGUCGAUGGGAAACAGGUUAAUAUUCCUGUACUUGGUGUUACUGCGAAGGGGGGACGGAGAAGGCUAUGUUAGCCGGGCGACGGUUGUCCCGGUUUAAGCAUGUAGGCUGGUUAUCCAGGCAAAUCCGGAUAAUCAAGGCUGAGGUGUGAUGACGAGGCACUACGGUGCUGAAGUAACAAAUGCCCUGCUUCCAGGAAAAGCCUCUAAGCAUCAGGUAACAUCAAAUCGUACCCCAAACCGACACAGGUGGUCAGGUAGAGAAUACCAAGGCGCUUGAGAGAACUCGGGUGAAGGAACUAGGCAAAAUGGUGCCGUAACUUCGGGAGAAGGCACGCUGGUGUGUAGGUGAAGUCCCUGCGGAUGGAGCUGAGACCAGUCGAAGAUACCAGCUGGCUGCAACUGUUUAUUAAAAACACAGCACUGUGCAAACACGAAAGUGGACGUAUACGGUGUGACGCCUGCCCGGUGCCGGAAGGUUAAUUGAUGGGGUUAUCCGUAAGGAGAAGCUCUUGAUCGAAGCCCCGGUAAACGGCGGCCGUAACUAUAACGGUCCUAAGGUAGCGAAAUUCCUUGUCGGGUAAGUUCCGACCUGCACGAAUGGCGUAAUGAUGGCCAGGCUGUCUCCACCCGAGACUCAGUGAAAUUGAACUCGCUGUGAAGAUGCAGUGUACCCGCGGCAAGACGGAAAGACCCCGUGAACCUUUACUAUAGCUUGACACUGAACAUUGAGCCUUGAUGUGUAGGAUAGGUGGGAGGCUUUGAAGCGUGGACGCCAGUCUGCGUGGAGCCAACCUUGAAAUACCACCCUUUAAUGUUUGAUGUUCUAACGUUGGCCCCUGACCGGGGUUGCGGACAGUGUCUGGUGGGUAGUUUGACUGGGGCGGUCUCCUCCCAAAGCGUAACGGAGGAGCACGAAGGUUAGCUAAUCCUGGUCGGACAUCAGGAGGUUAGUGCAAUGGCAUAAGCUAGCUUGACUGCGAGCGUGACGGCGCGAGCAGGUGCGAAAGCAGGUCAUAGUGAUCCGGUGGUUCUGAAUGGAAGGGCCAUCGCUCAACGGAUAAAAGGUACUCCGGGGAUAACAGGCUGAUACCGCCCAAGAGUUCAUAUCGACGGCGGUGUUUGGCACCUCGAUGUCGGCUCAUCACAUCCUGGGGCUGAAGUAGGUCCCAAGGGUAUGGCUGUUCGCCAUUUAAAGUGGUACGCGAGCUGGGUUUAGAACGUCGUGAGACAGUUCGGUCCCUAUCUGCCGUGGGCGCUGGAGAAUUGAGGGGGGCUGCUCCUAGUACGAGAGGACCGGAGUGGACGCAUCACUGGUGUUCGGGUUGUCAUGCCAAUGGCACUGCCCGGUAGCUAAAUGCGGAAGAGAUAAGUGCUGAAAGCAUCUAAGCACGAAACUUGCCCCGAGAUGAGUUCUCCCUGAGACUUUAAGUCUCCUGAAGGAACGUUAAAGACGAUGACGUUGAUAGGCCGGGUGUGUAAGCGCAGCGAUGCGUUGAGCUAACCGGUACUAAUGAACCGUGAGGCUUAACCUU